Molecule: ribosomal RNA, 481 nt
Filed under: uncultured bacterium
Lineage: Bacteria
Description: partial 16S ribosomal RNA
Rfam family: Bacterial small subunit ribosomal RNA
Source: RNAcentral
AUUGAACGCUGGCGGCAUGCCUUACACAUGCAAGUCGAACGGUAACGGGCCUUCGGGUGCCGACGAGUGGCGAACGGGUGAGUAAUACAUCGGAACGUGCCCGAUCGUGGGGGAUAACGGGGCGAAAGCUUUGCUAAUACCGCAUACGAUCUACGGAUGAAAGCAGGGGACCGCAAGGCCUUGCGCGGACGGAGCGGCCGAUGGCAGAUUAGGUAGUUGGUGGGAUAAAAGCUUACCAAGCCGACGAUCUGUAGCUGGUCUGAGAGGAUGAUCAGCCACACUGGGACUGAGACACGGCCCAGACUCCUACGGGAGGCAGCAGUGGGGAAUUUUGGACAAUGGGCGCAAGCCUGAUCCAGCCAUGCCGCGUGCAGGAUGAAGGCCUUCGGGUUGUAAACUGCUUUUGUACGGAACGAAAAGCCUUCUUUUAAUACAGGAUGGUCAUGACGGUACCGUAAGAAUAAGCACCGGCUAACUACGU